This 73-nucleotide transfer RNA is filed under the name Camelus bactrianus (Bactrian camel). It matches the Rfam family "tRNA". Rfam says of the family: Transfer RNA (tRNA) molecules are approximately 80 nucleotides in length. Their secondary structure includes four short double-helical elements and three loops (D, anti-codon, and T loops). Lineage: Eukaryota; Metazoa; Chordata; Mammalia; Artiodactyla; Camelidae. RNAcentral also lists the same sequence under 1 other name. The record is from Rfam by way of RNAcentral.
GGUGGUACAGCCCAGUGGUAGAGCACAUGCUUAGUAUGCACGAGGUCCUGAGUUCAACCCCCACGUACCUCCA